This 101-nucleotide microRNA precursor is filed under the name Lucilia cuprina (Australian sheep blowfly). Its description in RNAcentral is "microRNA mir-137". The record is from RNAcentral. Lineage: Eukaryota; Metazoa; Arthropoda; Insecta; Diptera; Calliphoridae.
GUUUAAAUGUCAUCUAUAGGUGGGUGUAGUCUGAGAUAAUAAUAUAGAAAUAUUUAUAUUAUUAUCUCAGACUACACCCACCUAUAGAUGACAUUUAAACA